UCUCAGCGUAGGUUGUGUCGUACGGCAGACAGUACGAGAGUGGCGGUAGGAGGAUGACUUCAAGAUCAGAGGCGCCGGAACGUUGGACGCAGAUGCACAUAGAUUACUUGAUACUGAUGUAUAAUUUUGAUAAUAUCCAAGCAUCAAACAGUGGCCUGGUAAUGGGAUAGCCCCGACCACAAUACACCCUUCAGCGAGGCGGAAGAGAAACAAGGAAACAGCAUUACCCGGGAAACGCGUCGGUAAUCCCGACCAAUCCAAGAACCAUCGGUUUCAAUAGAUGUAUCAGCUUCAUUGUCACCAUCACCGAAGUCAAGCCGUAUCAGCGAUCGAAACUGCAAUCGAUUGCAUAGACAUUCGAGGUUUAAUCGCUUAAAAAAAUAAUUUAUAAUAACGAAAACUUAUACUUGGAUCCUCCCCGAAACGCGUCAAUCUUACUAUAUAUAUGUGUUAUGAUUAAAAUUAUACUUGUGCAAAAUAUGAACCGUGUAGCGCGUGUAUUACGCGAAUAAAUUACAUUGUCUAUCGAAAUGC
Molecule: long non-coding RNA, 534 nt
Organism: Pogonomyrmex barbatus (red harvester ant)
Lineage: Eukaryota; Metazoa; Arthropoda; Insecta; Hymenoptera; Formicidae
Source: RefSeq, a predicted model, not a curated record